Molecule: ribosomal RNA, 291 nt
Filed under: uncultured bacterium
Lineage: Bacteria
Description: partial 16S ribosomal RNA
Rfam family: Bacterial small subunit ribosomal RNA
Source: RNAcentral
CUUCCUACGGGAGGCAGCAGUGAGGAAUAUUGGUCAAUGGUCGGGAGACUGAACCAGCCAAGCCGCGUGAGGGAUGAAGGUACAGAGUAUCGUAAACCUCUUUUGUCAGGGAACAAAGGCGGGGACGUGUCCCCGGAUGAGUGUACCUGAAGAAAAAGCAUCGGCUAACUCCGUGCCAGCAGCCGCGGUAAUACGGAGGAUGCGAGCGGUAUCCGGAUUUAUUGGGGUUAAAGGGUGCGCAGGCGGUCUGUUAAGUCCGCGGUCAAAGCCAGGGGCGCAACCACGGGCCGC